AUGCCGAGGCCGGUGCCCCCAAGGCCGCUGCCGCAGCGCGAGGACACGGGGUGGCCGCAGAGGCCCGAGUUCCCGGAGAAGGAGUCCUUGGAGAAGGCAGAGCCGAGCUGGGACGGGAUCUGGCCCUCGAGGCGGUUCCCGGAGAGGUCGAGCGCCUUGAGGCGGUCGAGGCGCGCGAGGGAGGCGGGGAUCUGGCCGGAGAAGGCGUUGUCGCUGAGCUUGAGCGAAUUGAGGAAGCGGCAGUUGGCGAGCUCGGAGGGGAGCGGGCCGGUGAGGCGGUUGCCGGAGAGGUCGAGGUUGACGACGAAGGGGAUCCAGUCGCAGAGCGCGGGGGGUAUCUGGCCCUCGAGCGCGUUGGAGGAGAGGUCGAGCGUGUUGGCGGAGCGGCAGUACUGGAGCGCGGGGGGGAUUUUGCCCUGGAGGCCGAAGCCGGAGAGGGAGACGGCGAGGAUGCGCGACUCCUGCGGGUUCCAGCAGGAGAUGCCG
RNAcentral lists this ribosomal RNA (486 nucleotides) under Triticum aestivum (bread wheat). RNAcentral describes it as "partial small subunit ribosomal RNA". Lineage: Eukaryota; Viridiplantae; Streptophyta; Magnoliopsida; Poales; Poaceae. The record is from RNAcentral.